CGUAGGUGGCAAGCGUUGUCCGGAAUUAUUGGGCGUAAAGCGCGCGCAGGCGGUCCUUUAAGUCUGAUGUGAAAGCCCACGGCUCAACCGUGGAGGGUCAUUGGAAACUGGGGGACUUGAGUACAGAAGAGAAGAGUGGAAUUCCACGUGUAGCGGUGAAAUGCGUAGAGAUGUGGAGGAACACCAGUGGCGAAGGCGACUCUUUGGUCUGUAACUGACGCUGAGGCGCGAAAGCGUGGGGAGCAAACAGGAUUAGAUGCCCUGGUAGUCCACGCUGUAAACGAUGAGUGCUAAGUGUUAGAGGGUUUCCGCCCUUUAGUGCUGCAGCUAACGCAUUAAGCACUCCGCCUGGGGAGUACGGCCGCAAGGCUG
RNAcentral lists this ribosomal RNA (372 nucleotides) under uncultured organism. RNAcentral describes it as "bacterial SSU rRNA". It matches the Rfam family "Bacterial small subunit ribosomal RNA", at positions 526 to 896 of the family's 1533-position model. The record is from RNAcentral.